UGGCAACGCGGGUGGCGGGCGCCUGGUUCCCCGCGUGGCGAGCGGUAACUGGGCUGGAGGAGGCGCGGGUGCGUCCUUCCCAGCUUAGAUUCGUUGAUUCCAGGUAAAUCAGAGGAACAAGCCUCAGAAAUAGACAGGAAGCGCUGUGAUGCAGAAGCAGACCUGUUCCAGAAGUCCAGCCUGCGGUGCACUUAGCAGAGAAUAUAUUAUUUCCAAAAUCACCCUUUACUCAUGCUUAUGUUAUAGUAAGUUGUGUUUUUAAAAUAAAUAUUGGUGAUUUGUUCUUGAAAAU
Miniopterus natalensis is the source of this 292-nucleotide non-coding RNA. The record is from RefSeq and is a predicted model, not a curated record. NCBI's taxonomy places the organism in Eukaryota, Metazoa, Chordata, Mammalia, Chiroptera, Miniopteridae.